CAGCGCCGGCGCGCAGGAGGCGGUGGGGCCAGUGCGGGCGCUGGAGCCGCCGCGGCGGCAGGAAGAUGGAUGCGCCGGGCUCAUCCCUCGCCGCUCGGCAUCUUUCCCUGGCGGCACGGGCUUCCAAAGCAGCUGAAUCCAGGACCUUAAGUAAUGUCACGCAGUAGUUGCUGAACUAACUGGCUCUGAAAGGAAUAGAAAAAGAUGGCAGUCCAUAUUUGAAAUAAACACGUGGACUCCUGCUAAUAAGAAACCAUGUCAAAAAAAGGACGAAGCAAGGGCGAAAAGCCUGAGGCACUGAUUGUUGCCCUGCAGGCUGCCAAUGAGGAACUCAGGACUAAGCUAACAGACAUUCAAAUUGAGCUGCAUCAGGAGAAAUCUAAGGUUGCUAAACUCGAAAGAGAGAAGACUCAAGAAACGAAGCGUAUCCGCGAAGUGGAGCAACGCAAGCAGACCGUGCAGAUCACAGAACUAAAAGCCAAACUCCAUGAGGAGAAAAUGAAGGAACUGCAGGCUGUGAGGGAGAACCUCAUCAAACAGCACGAGCAGGAGAUGACGAGAAUGGUGAAAGUCCGAGACAGUGAAAUCCAGCGCCUCAAGUCAGCGCUGUGCGCACUGCGGGACGGGAGCAGUGAUAAAGUACGGACAGCGCUGACUAUUGAGGCUCGUGAGGAGGCCAGGAAACAGUUUGACUCUGAGCGCCUUAAGCUUCUGCAGGAAAUUACGGAACUGAAGUCUGCCAAAAAGCAGGUAGAUGAGGCCCUUAACAAUAUGAUCCAGGCCGAUAAGAUCAAGGCAGGCGAUCUUCGGAGUGAGCAUCAGUCCCACCAGGAAGCCAUUUCCAAGAUCAAAUGGGAGAGUGAAAGGGAUAUUCGACGCCUGAUGGACGAGAUCAAGGCUAAAGACAGGAUCAUAUUUUCAUUGGAGAAGGAACUGGAGACACAAACAGGCUAUGUGCAGAAGCUGCAGCUGCAAAAGGAAGCUCUGGAUGAACAGCUCUUUUUGGUGAAGGAGGCAGAGUGUAACAUGAGCAGUCCCAAAAGAGAGAUCCCAGGAAGAGCUGGAGAUGGUUCGGAGCACUGCAGCAGCCCUGACUUGCGCAGAAACCAGAAGAGGAUAGCAGAGCUGAAUGCCACGAUACGAAAGCUGGAAGACCGGAACACGUUGCUUGUUGAUGAACGAAAUGAGCUGUUGAAGCGUGUCCGAGAAGCUGAGAAACAAUGUAAACCUCUUCUGGAAAAGAAUAAGUGCCUCACGAAGAGAAAUGAUGAACUUAUGCAGUCUUUGCAGCGCAUGGAAGAUAAACUCAAAGCAGUCACUAAAGAAAAUAUAGAAAUGAGAGAAAAAAUAACGUCACAUCCUCCUCUAAAGAAAUUAAGAUCUCUCAAUGACCUGGAUCAGGCUAAUGAGGAACAAGAAACUGAAUUUUUAAAGCUUCAGGUCAUAGAACAGCAGAACAUAAUUGAUGAAUUAACAAGGGACAGGGAGAAACUCAUUCGUCGGAGAAAGCAUAAAAGGAGCUCAAAACCAAUCAAGAGACAUGUGGUGGAUACAGUUUUUGGAUAUGAUGAUGAUUCUAUGGACUCUGAAACAUCCUCUGUGGCCUCAUAUAGAACAGACAGGACACCAGCAACCCCAGAUGAUGAUCUGGAUGAGGGUUUAGCAGCAGAAGAGUCAGAGCUGCGGUUUCGACAGCUGACAAAGGAGUACCAGGCCCUGCAGAGAGCAUAUGCACUGCUGCAGGAACAGACAGGAGGGGUCAUAGAUGCUGAAAGAGAAGCCAGGGCUCAGGAGCAACUUCAAGCUGAAGUCCAGAGGUAUAAAGCCAAAAUAGAAGAUCUGGAGAAAACUUUGGCUCAGAAAGGGCAAGACUCACACUGGGUGGAAGACAAGCAGCUUUUCAUUAAGAGGAACCAAGAGCUUUUAGACAAGAUAGAGAAAACGGAAGCAGAAAACAACCGUCUGCAACAGGAGCUGCAGGAUGCGCGAGACCAGAAUGAGCUGCUGGAGUUCCGCAACCUUGAGCUGGAGGAAAGAGAGAGACGGUCUCCACCAUUUAAUCUCCAGAUUCACCCAUUCUCAGAUGGUGUGAGUGCUCUACAGAUCUACUGCAUGAAGGAAGGGGUUAAGGAUGUCAGCAUCCCAGACCUUAUAAAGCAGUUAGACAUCCUAGGUGAUAAUGGGAAUUUAAGGAAUGAAGAACAAGUGGCCAUAAUUCAGGCUUCCACGGUAUUGUCCUUGGCAGAAAAGUGGAUCCAGCAGAUUGAGGGAGCUGAAGCCGCUCUGCAUCAGAAGAUGAUGGAACUGGAAAGUGAUAUGGAGCAGUUUUGCAAAAUAAAAGGUUAUUUGGAGGAAGAACUAGACUACAGGAAGCAAGCUCUUGACCAAGCAUACAUGAGGAUCCAGGAGCUUGAAGCCACCUUGUACAAUGCUUUGCAGCAAGAAACAGUGAUAAAGUUUGGGGAACUACUCACUGAAAAACAGCAGGAAGAGCUGCGGACAGCAGUAGAAAAACUAAGACGUCAGAUGCUGAGGAAGAGUAGAGAAUAUGAUUGCCAGAUUCUUCAGGAGAGGAUGGAGCUGCUCCAGCAGGCUCAUCAGAGGAUACGAGAUUUAGAAGACAAAACUGACAUCCAGAAGAGACAAAUUAAGGAUCUGGAGGAAAAGUUUCUGUUUCUAUUCUUGUUCUUCUCUCUUGCCUUUAUUCUUUGGCCUUGAUGUCAGUGUGCCUCUUGGAAAGAGGAUCUGCACUGCUGUGAACUCCCUUGAACUGUAAAGACAGCUGCAGCAGGUCCAGCAUCACAGCACGCAUGAUACCUGUAGAGUGUUUUACCAAGGCCAGUCACUCCACAGGUGCAAAGCAUCAAGUCUUGUAGCAGUUCCUCAAAAACAAGAGUGCCCGACCAGAGCGUUAAGUCCUUAUAAAGGCAAAUGCUUCCACCCCUCGAUGAAGAGAAUAUUGUUUACACCUAUUUUCAAAAGUAUAAAAAUGAACAACCUGUAGCCAAGACUGCAACCACCUUGUAUUUUAAAGCCAUCACUCAAAAUUUGUUACCUGACAGUUCCUGUCUAAAGCUAUGAUAUAUGCUGCAUCUAAUGAAAUCCCGUGUGUUGAAAUUACAAAAGGGGAAGAAAAAUAAACUGACAACCUACAUCACCUAGGAAGAACUUAAAGGGAAGGAACCACUUUCAGCUGAUCAAGUCAGUGUGUCUUGGGCAUGGAACCAAAGCUAAAAUAGAAAAAUCUAUUCCUGCUGUGCAGGUAAAUCAUUUUAAUGUCACCCUAUCAUCUGACAAAUGGAUCAAAAACGAACAGAUCAGAGUAGGAGAAACUCAAGAGAGGCUGACAACAAAGUGCUCAAUUUGAAGUGUGUGGCUUUCUCGUGGCAGGGACUCCUACUCGCCCCCUUUGGUUUUAACCUCAGGAACAAAUGUCAGCUGCAAUGUGGAAGGAAGAAAGGAAAAAAGAAAAACGGUUUGGGCUAUUGCAGGAUUGGAAGGACAGGGUCACCAUGUUCUGUGCUUGAGCACAGCACCACCUGCCUUGGCCAAGGAUUGGAAGAAGAGGAUGUCUGGCAUGCGGAGGGUUUCCAGGGGAGUUGAAGCCUUAUCUCUCCUCACCAUCCCUCCAAGAAGAACAGCCUGUUUAUUAUCAGAUACUUUUCAUACUCUGUAAAGACUGCCAUUGAGCUAAUAAUUACUAUACUUGGUUUCACUAUAGAAUAACCACUGAGGAUUACUGAAUUGGACCUACAGAGUAGCUUCUGAGAAUAAAAUGUUGGAGGACAGGGCAGGGAGGAAAGCUAAUCCCCUUAUCCAUGUGACAUGAUUCACAAAGCAUCAGCUUCCAACUGUUUUGUCCCAGCUUGGAAAAAAUGUUCAGCUUAUUAACUGACUUUGUCCGUUGGCUUCCUAAUCAAUGAUACACAGACCAAAAAUGGGGAAGAACUUAGUGAACACAAUCUUAUUACAAAUAAGAAAUAUUGCUAGUCUGUUUAGAUUUUUCCACAGUUAAGAGUAACUAAAGGUAAUUUUCAUUUCAGAGCAUUACUUAACCUCUGUAGUCACAAAGCAUGGAACCCAGCCUUGGUGCCAACCUGAGGUCAUAGGUCCAUGCACCCCUGUACUCUUUCAGAAACAUCUCUGAGGAGCAUAAGGCCUGCAGCAAUCUCUGUGAGGGUCCUGUGCCAAGGGAAGCCAGAGCUGCACCCACCCUCCCUUUUUCACUGAUGGACUGACAGUGCACUUCUCAGUGCCUCUGGUUUCAUUACCUGGGCAAUGGAGUCCUGCCAGUUCAGACUUCGGCUUCCAAGGCUCUGUCUUCUGCGAUGGAGCCUUAAUUUUAACUGGAGGAAAUGGAUUUCUGUACUACAAACUAGAAAAUUAAGGGCCAGAAUACAGCUUGUGCGUUACUUACACCUUCAAAGCAGGGAUCGUGUGUACCAACAACUUACGCACAUCAGAAGCUUUUAAAGUGGGUUUUUUUUUUUCAAAGAGCUUCUCCUGGUGUUGCCUGUUUACUUUGACAGAUGAAGCAGCUGAGGCAAAAAGCAGUGAGGUCACUUGCCAGGGCAACUCAGCACAUCAAAAGCAGUUCCUUAGCCAUAGGAAGAAGGACGUUCUUUUAGUAUCAAGGAUGCCUGCCCCUCACAGAUACUUUUUUUUGGCCAGAGUAGCUUUUAAUUAGUAAUAUCCAUUUGCCCAACUGCAUUGCAAUUCUGAGCUCAGUUUCUCCACAAAGACUACUAACAUCCUUAUUUCUUGAGUGCCAGUACAUAGUGUUAAGCUUUGAAUCGAAAAGGAGAAGUUAUUAGCAAGUGAUUUUUUUUUUUCCUGCUCCUUAAAAUUAAAUUAUAUAAUGACCACAUCCUCUUGAAACACUCUGGUUCAGCCUAGGGGUGUAUUGAGUUCUGGCACCAAGCUGCAUGUUUGCUUGUUCAUUUUUUAAAAAGAAAUAUGCUUGUAGGUAGAUACAUUAUGUGACUGCAGGCACAUUGCGUGCUUUUUGUUCAAAUUCCUUUUCCCUGGCAGAAGGCUUUGUGAAUAAGGUUGACCCAAAUGUACAUGUGCUUUCCACAGGUUAGGAGCUCCGGAGUUGGGCCCUGGAAGAGUGGCCCCACUCCUGUGACAGCUGGAGAUCUCUGAGAAGCUUAACAUAUUGUUAGUUGCAAAGAGGGGGCUUUCUCUCUGGUUAUUCCUUCUUCCCACCUCACUCUUUUCUCCUCUGUUGCAGCAUCAGGUAAUUUUACACCUUCAGGCUGUUUUUCUGUGUUAGGGCUGGCAGUUAAAGCACUGAGUUCUUGCAGAAGAAUGAGCAGCACUUGGUUUCAGUGAUGGUGCAAUAAUUUCCACCUCUGGUUUGGUUUUAAAAAAAUAACAUAGAAAUGUUCAUUUCAGGCAAUUGUACAGAAGGUUUAUGGCACAGAUAGAAAUACACAGUUUCACAGCAUACCUGACUGGUCUUGUAGCAGGCUUCAUCAUUUACACUCCAUGAGCCAUGUUAUCUUUACUUUUUUUUUUUUAAUCUAAUUUGCAGUCCCUCACUCCUGUGUGUAUACAUAUGCAUGCAGGUAUUGCAUUCCCAAGGGCUCAGGGUGGGAUGGGGGCUGCUAGUCUGACUGCAGCAGACCUGGGUCUGCAAACUUUUCAAAGAUUGUUCUUCACUCCAGGGAGCUGAACCACCACUGCUUUACUCUCCUUGCAGCGUAACACAUGCCAUGCCUAAAACACACUUGCUCAUAUGAGUUAAUACGAACUUUCUGCUAUCAGCUAGAUCAAAAUGAGAUUAAUGUCUCUGUGUGUGUGUAUAUAUAUAUAUAUAUACACACAUGUAUCUCUAUGUAUAUGUACAUAUAUAUACAUAUAUAUGCAUACACUUACCUAUUCCCUGUUGUAUAUAGAAAUUAUUGCUAUGAUUUACGAAAGUAUUACUUCAGUCUAGGCAGGGGGAACUGAAUAAAGAUUGUUUAGCUGCCACAGCUGGUACCGUCCUCCAGGUUUAUUUUCACAUCUCAUGGACAACUAAUUUUUUGAUUCUUUUUUCUGGACCCAUCUCUGUUCUUGGACUGUUAAUCCUGGGCUUUCUGCUGUUCCUGAUGUUCAUUGAAGCAAAGGAUUGAGGAACCUCUGUCAGAUUUGUCACUGCUGCCAACCUCCCCUCCCCAAAACCAAGAAGAAAAAUAAAAGUCAAUUUACUGCAGCCUUUGAGAACAGCAAAUACACCCCUGGAUCCCUCCCAUGCAUCCCUUCGAGGCCUGUUCAGGUGUAGCAGCACUCCAGGCUAUCCAUCCAAAGCAGAAGGUGAGCCACAGAAGGUAGUACAGGUCAUCUUGACCACAAUUUGACUUGCUGCUUUUUUUUUCCCAAAGACCAAGUUGGGAGAUUUUGAAGACUAUUUUUUUAAUUUAAGCACUUCAGAUGAGGGCCUGGUUAUGUAAGAUGAAUUUAGGCAAUUUGGGUUGCAGUAAGGAAAUGGUACUUGCAGUGUUAGCAGCCUGGCUCACAGCUCCAUCCUCUCCUACUGAUGUGCUUGAAGGACAAUGGAGUGGGGUUUUUUAGGUGGUGUUCAUCUUCCAACCCCCUACCAACAUCUCCGUGGGAAACAUCCUAAGAAACCCAAAGCUUUCAGUUCUGUGGCAUCUCAUGAGGACUGCCCAGGCCAGGCUCUCCCAACGUGAGCAGGGCUGAGAGAACAAAAACACAGCUGCUGGUGAUCCAAAGGAUUUUCUCUUCCCCUGCCCUCUCUCACAUCAGCACCUCUGUGGUUUCAUAUAUACUUUUGUUCCAGAAUUUUUUGGUGUCUCUUCCAGAAGAAAAUUGUCAAUGACUUGGCAGAAUGACCCUUUGAUAAGCACUGGACAUGUAUCUGUACUAUAUGUAUUAACGUGUAGGAGAGAAUCCUUAUUGUAUGUAAAGUUUUAUGAAUGGUUAUUUUUUAAUUUAUGUAUUUAAUAUAGGAUUCAAUGA
RNA transcript from Hirundo rustica (Barn swallow), 6966 nucleotides. It is a transcript of the gene named janus kinase and microtubule interacting protein 2, with no coding region annotated. The record is from RefSeq and is a predicted model, not a curated record. The transcript is spliced from 23 exons. NCBI's taxonomy places the organism in Eukaryota, Metazoa, Chordata, Aves, Passeriformes, Hirundinidae.